ACCAUUUUUUUUUUAUGAAUUUUAGGUAGUGGCCUGUUAAGCCUAAAAAACACAAAGUUGUUGGGGAUUGUGGUGCAAGCCAUUCAGUCACAGCUUGAAUUUUAUUCGCAUUGGCAAACAAACCUACAAAAGAAAAAAUGUGCCCUAAAUAUGCAACUUGCUUUUCUCCAAAAGAUGAUGAGCCCGAAGCAAAGUGAAAACCAACUUAAUGUGCCUCAAAUGGUCUUCCCCUAUUUUUCUAUAAAUUAAGAUGUCAUUGAAG
This 262-nucleotide unclassified non-coding RNA is filed under the name Hevea brasiliensis (rubber tree). The record is from RNAcentral. Lineage: Eukaryota; Viridiplantae; Streptophyta; Magnoliopsida; Malpighiales; Euphorbiaceae.